Takifugu rubripes (torafugu) is the source of this 67-nucleotide non-coding RNA. The record is from Rfam. NCBI's taxonomy places the organism in Eukaryota, Metazoa, Chordata, Actinopteri, Tetraodontiformes, Tetraodontidae.
GCUUUUUCCCCCCAGGCCUGUUGGUGUAUACUACAGAGAAGCCUCCAGGGUUCCGGGGGUGAAAUGC